This 424-nucleotide ribosomal RNA is filed under the name uncultured bacterium. Its description in RNAcentral is "bacterial SSU rRNA". It matches the Rfam family "Bacterial small subunit ribosomal RNA", at positions 355 to 774 of the family's 1533-position model. The record is from RNAcentral.
UCGAGGAUCUUCGGCAAUGGGCGCAAGCCUGACCGAGCGACGCCGCGUGUGGGAUGAAGGCCUUCGGGUUGUAAACCACUGUCAGUGGGGACGAACGUCCAGUGGGUUCUCCCAUUGGAUUGACAGAUCCGCAGAGGAAGUGAUGGCUAAGCUCGUGCCAGCAGCCGCGGUAAGACGAGCAUCACAAACGUUAUUCGGAAUUACUGGGCUUAAAGGGUGCGUAGGCGGUGCAGAAAGUCGGGAGUGAAAUCCCACAGCUCAACUGUGGAAUUGCUUUCGAUACUGCUGUGCUUGAGUGAGAUAGAGGUAAGCGGAACUUAGGGUGGAGCGGUGAAAUGCGUUGAUAUCCUAAGGAACACCGGUGGCGAAGGCGGCUUACUGGGUCUCUACUGACGCUGAUGCACGAAAGCCAGGGUAGCGAACG